GCGGACGGGUGAGGAACACAUCGGAAUUUGCCCAGUCGUGGGGGAUAACGUAGGGAAACUUACGCUAAUACCGCAUACGACCGAUAAGGUGAAAGCGGGGGAUCUGUAAGGACCUCGCGCGGAUGGAUAAGCCGAUGUCGGAUUAGCUAGUUGGCGGGGUAAGAGCCCACCAAGGCGACGAUCCGUAGCUGGUCUGAGAGGAUGAUCAGCCACACUGGGACUGAGACACGGUCCAGACUCCUACGGGAGGCAGCAGUGGGGAAUAUUGGACAAUGGGGGCAACCCUGAUCCAGCAAUGCCGCGUGUAGUGAAGAAGGCCUUCAGGUUGUAAAGCACUUUUAUCCGGAACGAAACGCGCAGGGUGAAUAUCCUUGCGAACUGACGGUACCGGAGGAAUAAGCACCGGCUAACUUCGUGCCAGCAGCCGCGGUAAUACGAAGGGUGCAAGCGUUACUCGGAAUUACUGGGCGUAAAGGGUGCGUAGGUGGUUGUUUAAGUUUGCUGUGAAAGCCCCGGGCUCAACCUGGGAAUGGCAGUGAAUACUGGAUAGCUAGAGUGCGGUAGAGGGUAGUGGAAUUCCCGGUGUAGCAGUGAAAU
Molecule: ribosomal RNA, 597 nt
Filed under: uncultured bacterium
Lineage: Bacteria
Description: bacterial SSU rRNA
Rfam family: Bacterial small subunit ribosomal RNA
Source: RNAcentral